Acanthosepion pharaonis is the source of this 110-nucleotide non-coding RNA. The record is from the annotation of a GenBank genome assembly. Lineage: Eukaryota; Metazoa; Mollusca; Cephalopoda; Sepiida; Sepiidae.
UGGCUAUAUCACGUUGAAACACCGGUUCUCGUACGAUCACCGAAGUUAAGCAAGAUCGAAUCUGGUCAGUACCUAAAUGGGUGAACGCUUGAAAAGACCUGAUGCUGUAA